UGGGGAAUAUUGGGCAAUGGGGGCAACCCUGACCCAGCGACGCCGCGUGGGGGAAGACGGCCUUCGGGUUGUAAACCUCUUUUGUACGGGAAGAAGGAAGUGACGGUACUGUACGAAUAAGUCCCGGCUAACUACGUGCCAGCAGCCGCGGUAAUACGUAGGGGACGAGCGUUGUUAGGAAUUAUUGGGCGUAAAGGGCGCGCAGGCUGUGCUGCAAGUCAGCUGUUAAAUGUCUGGGCUUAACCCGGGCAUGCGGUUGAGACUGCGGUGCUGGAGUGCUGUAGAGGCAAGUGGAAUUCCCAGUGUAGCGGUGAAAUGCGUAGAUAUUGGGAAGAACACCGGUGGCGAAGGCGACUUGCUGGGCAGCAACUGACGCUGAGGCGCGAAAGCCAGGGGAGCAAACGG
This 405-nucleotide ribosomal RNA is filed under the name uncultured bacterium. Its description in RNAcentral is "bacterial SSU rRNA". It matches the Rfam family "Bacterial small subunit ribosomal RNA", at positions 355 to 775 of the family's 1533-position model. The record is from RNAcentral.